This 97-nucleotide ribosomal RNA is filed under the name Vibrio ponticus. The record is from RNAcentral. Lineage: Bacteria; Pseudomonadati; Pseudomonadota; Gammaproteobacteria; Vibrionales; Vibrionaceae.
CGGACCCACCUGAUUCCAUGCCGAACUCAGAAGUGAAACGCAAUAGCGCCGAUGGUAGUGUGGGGCUUCCCCAUGUGAGAGUAGGACAUCGCCAGGC